GACGAACGUUGGCGGCGUGCUUAACACAUGCAAGUCGAACGGAAAGGCCCUGCUUUUGUGGGGUGCUCGAGUGGCGAACGGGUGAGUAACACGUGAGUAACCUGCCCUUGGCUUUGGGAUAACUUCAGGAAACUGGGGCUAAUACCGGAUAGGAGCUCCUGCUGCAUGGUGGGGGUUGGAAAGUUUCGGCGGUUGGGGAUGGACUCGCGGCUUAUCAGCUUGUUGGUGGGGUAGUGGCUUACCAAGGCUUUGACGGGUAGCCGGCCUGAGAGGGUGACCGGCCACAUUGGGACUGAGAUACGGCCCAGACUCCUACGGGAGGCAGCAGUGGGGAAUAUUGCACAAUGGGCGGAAGCCUGAUGCAGCAACGCCGCGUGCGGGAUGACGGCCUUCGGGUUGUAAACCGCUUUCGCCUGUGACGAAGCGUGAGUGACGGUAAUGGGUAAAGAAGCACCGGCUAACUACGUGCCAGCAGCCGCGGUGAUACGUAGGGUGCGAGCGUUGUCCGGAUUUAUUGGGCGUAAAGGGCUCGUAGGUGGUUGAUCGCGUCGGAAGUGUAAUCUUGGGGCUUAACCCUGAGCGUGCUUUCGAUACGGGUUGACUUGAGGAAGGUAGGGGAGACUGGAAUUCCUGGUGGAGCGGUGGAAUGCGCAGAUAUCAGGAGGAACACCAGUGGCGAAGGCGGUUCUCUGGGCCUUUCCUGACGCUGAGGAGCGAAAGCGUGGGGAGCGAACAGGCUUAGAUACCCUGGUAGUCCACGCUGUAAACGGUGGGUACUAGGUGUGGGGUCCAUUCCACGGGUUCCGUGCCGUAGCUAACGCUCUAAGUACCCCGCCUGGGGAGUACGGCCGCAAGGCUAAAACCCAAAGGAAUUGACGGGGCCCCGCACAAGCGGCGGAGCAUGCGGAUUAAUUCGAUGCAACGCGUAGAACCUUACCUGGGUUUGACAUGGAUCGGGAGUGCUCAGAGAUGGGUGUGCCUCUUUUGGGGUCGGUUCACAGGUGGUGCAUGGCUGUCGUCAGCUCGUGUCGUGAGAUGUUGGGUUAAGUCCCGCAACGAGCGCAACCCUUGUUCACUGUUGCCAGCACGUUAUGGUGGGGACUCAGUGGAGACCGCCGGGGUCAACUCGGAGGAAGGUGGGGAUGACGUCAAGUCAUCAUGCCCCUUAUGUCCAGGGCUUCACGCAUGCUACAAUGGCUGGUACAGAGAGUGGCGAGCCUGUGAGGGUGAGCGAAUCUCGGAAAGCCGGUCUCAGUUCGGAUUGGGGUCUGCAACUCGACCUCAUGAAGUCGGAGUCGCUAGUAAUCGCAGAUCAGCAACGCUGCGGUGAAUACGUUCCCGGG
RNAcentral lists this ribosomal RNA (1343 nucleotides) under uncultured bacterium. RNAcentral describes it as "16S ribosomal RNA". It matches the Rfam family "Bacterial small subunit ribosomal RNA", at positions 28 to 1378 of the family's 1533-position model. The record is from RNAcentral.